UGGGGAAUAUUGCGCAAUGGGGGAAACCCUGACGCAGCAACGCCGCGUGAAGGAUGAAGGCUUUCGGGUUGUAAACUUCUUUGAUCGGGGACGAAGAUGACGGUACCCGGGGAACAAGCCACGGCUAACUACGUGCCAGCAGCCGCGGUAAUACGUAGGUGGCGAGCGUUGUCCGGAAUUACUGGGUGUAAAGGGCGUGUAGGCGGGAAAGCAAGUCAGAUGUGAAAUACCGGGGCUUAACUCCGGGGCUGCAUCUGAAACUGUUUUUCUUGAGUGUCGGAGAGGAAAGCGGAAUUCCUAGUGUAGCGGUGAAAUGCGUAGAUAUUAGGAGGAACACCAGUGGCGAAGGCGGCUUUCUGGACAGUAACUGACGCUGAGGCGCGAAAGCGUGGGGAGCGAACAGG
This 404-nucleotide ribosomal RNA is filed under the name uncultured prokaryote. RNAcentral's name for it is "bacterial SSU rRNA". It matches the Rfam family "Bacterial small subunit ribosomal RNA", at positions 355 to 776 of the family's 1533-position model. The record is from RNAcentral. RNAcentral also lists the same sequence under 1 other name.